Erinaceus europaeus (western European hedgehog) is the source of this 356-nucleotide non-coding RNA. Lineage: Eukaryota; Metazoa; Chordata; Mammalia; Eulipotyphla; Erinaceidae. The record is from Rfam.
GGAUAUGAGAGAAAUCUGGCUGCAACACCUGUCAUCCCAUUGAUCACUAGGGAUGAUUCGGCACAUAGGGCUGGCUAGGUGGGUAUUCCCUUCAUCCCUCAUCACUCCAUGUGCAUCCCUCACAAAGCUUUUUGCUCAAUAGAAGAGACAGCCUUUCCUGAAUAGAGACGGACCAGUCUUCAGUCAAGGGAAUACAAGUAGCUGUACUCCCCUGCUAGAACCUCCAAACGAGCUCUCAUAGUUCUUCCCCAUGCUCUUUCAGUCAUGGUUUAGGUGAAUCCUCCAGGACCACUGUAGGUUUUAAAGACAAUGCUGGCUGUAGCCCUUGCACAUGGAACAAUACCAUGCCAAGAAAU